RNAcentral lists this transfer RNA (63 nucleotides) under human gut metagenome. It matches the Rfam family "tRNA", at positions 5 to 66 of the family's 71-position model. From Rfam's summary of the family: Transfer RNA (tRNA) molecules are approximately 80 nucleotides in length. Their secondary structure includes four short double-helical elements and three loops (D, anti-codon, and T loops). Further hydrogen bonds mediate the characteristic L-shaped molecular structure. tRNAs have two regions of fundamental functional importance: the anti-codon, which is responsible for specific mRNA codon recognition, and the 3' end, to which the tRNAs corresponding amino acid is attached (by aminoacyl-tRNA synthetases). tRNAs cope with the degeneracy of the genetic code in two manners: having more than one tRNA (with a specific anti-codon) for a particular amino acid; and 'wobble' base-pairing, i.e. permitting non-standard base-pairing at the 3rd anti-codon position. The record is from RNAcentral.
GCGUGGCGCAAUGGUAACGCAACGCACUUGUAAUGCGUAGAUUAGGGGUUCGACUCCCCUCGC